CAAAGGUACAUCAUUGACUAGAAUGCAAUCAAUGCAUUAACAAAUGUGUCACGUUGAGAAUUAGUCAUAAUAUAAUAAUCUACAUCUAAAAUGUACAAAGUGAGCUGUGCAUCUACUCACAAGUACUGGACCUGACGGUGAUGAGGAACCGAGAGGCGCCGGUGCCAUACUGUUGACUUGACUAGCAGAUUCACCGGCUAUCAUACUAUCCUGGAGUUCCUGAAGACGAGCACGCUCUGGUGAACUCAACCUAAAGAUGCACGACUUAGAUCGGGUCCGGAUAAUUAUUCCUCUGGGCUGCAAGUAACACUCCUGUAUCUUCUGUGCCCUUCUUAACUUGCUAGUGGUUGUCUUUUAGAAGCGAUUAGACAUGGAUUAUCAAAUGUACGCUAUCGAACGAAAACAGCAAAACUGCAGGAGGUGGAUCAGGGUCUACACUAAGGGCAGAACAGACAAACCUGGGCUACCUGCUUCAGACGAACGUCGUAACACCAGUUCGUAAACGCCACUGAGUCGAUUGGCUUCCUGAUUGCGAUAGUGACCGCUGAACAAAUGCUUCAGCGAUCGAGGACCCACUCUCGCAUCUCGUCCAUAAAUUAUCAUACUGAGAUCCUUUGUUAUGAUAGCUGGUCUGCCGCAAUUUUCAAGCUGUGGAAAAAUCCAGAUAAGUAAACAGGUUCUGGGGUAUUACGAAUGCGUCCGACAACAAGUUCUCUAACAUCUUUCCAUCGAAGUUCUGACGCAUGCUCAUGCACGAUCGUAAUGCGAAUACGCCGCUGUAUCCCUUGAUGAAGAAGAAAUAAUCCACGGCAAGAUUUCGAACCACACAAGGACGUCAUAUUUGGCGUGAACGUGUGACGUACUAGGUGAAGGUAGAACACUACCAAACUUUGGUGAUCGAACUGGCUGACUUAUGGGGAUUGAAGGUGGAAGCAUCCUUUUUGGUGGCUGCCUGGCACUGCUGUAUUAAUAAAUGUGGAUGCUGUUGGUAGUGGCCAAAUACUUCGAACACAAUGGGCUGAGUUUUGAGAUAUUCCAGAAACGAUUUCGUAACUGUCACAGUUAUCUGGUGCAACAGAUUGAUAGUUUGAAAUUUAUGUAACAAUUACAAACCAUCAAAAUUGCAUCUUAUCUGUUGAAUAAUUUACUCACAUUUUGUACAUGGUAAAAGCCUAGUGGAGGGUUUCCUUUACCGGCAUUCUUAACGGGUUCUGUUGAAAAUGCUUCAUCGUGUCGGUGCAGAAAACUGAAAGUACAAGGUUGUAAUGCAGUUCGUUUGUUUGUAACCGUCACUUUUUUUAUUAUCAAAAUCCGAUGGACUUACUUAAAUUGACAAAAGAUA
This is a long non-coding RNA of Athalia rosae (coleseed sawfly), 1342 nucleotides long. RefSeq lists it as uncharacterized. NCBI's taxonomy places the organism in Eukaryota, Metazoa, Arthropoda, Insecta, Hymenoptera, Athaliidae. The transcript has 6 exons. The record is from RefSeq and is a predicted model, not a curated record.